CCUUUCUCAGUGCAUUUGGCUCACUGUCCUAUUUAGUGAGUAUCUCUAGCUUUCUGACCGUGACCAGAAGUUAUCUGAGUGAUGAGUCACCUCCUGGUCACAUCAUAACCUCCAUCUCUGUGGCCUUUGUGGCACAGCCAGGGGCAAAGGGUAUUAUAAGAACUGAAUGCAAAACCACAGUAUCGUGAAUACAUUAAGUAUUUAUAUCACCCCAAUGAGAAGAGCUACAGAACAUGAUCAUGCUAUCCAACUCCAAUUAAGUUUGCUUUCAUUUUUGGGAAUACAUCAUUUUUGGACUCUUUCCUAAGUUAUCUAAUCCAAAAAGCCAGAGCCACAUUCAACAGGCCCUGGAGUGCAGCCACGCCUCGGGGAGCCUGGGGGUAAUCACUCAGCCUCUCUCAGCUCCUCCUUCAUCUGUAAAAUACUGAUAAAAACACUUUUGUGUGGUUGCUGAGACCCAAGCAGUCCAGCACAGUGCCGGAUACAGAGAGGAGACGGACAGACUCAGCCACCGGAGCCCUUCUGACUCCACAGACCUGCCGUGCAGGACUGCAGUGGGAGGCAUUUGUUUCCUCAGCACAGGAGGAGACAAACCUCCUACAGAUGAGGAAGCCAAAGUCAAAAGAGUUAGAAGUACCCAAGGUCACACUUCUAAGAAGGUUUGAUGUUUGGGCAGUCAUACUUGUCUCCCCAGACUUUAGUGAGACAACUCUCCAGUCUUGAUGACCAACUGGGUACGACUCUUAGCUGGCCAAAUCCCUCAGUCAGAAACAAAAACAUAAACUCAGUGAAGCCUGCUGAUUCUAUUCUCGACCUAUGUCGUCUAACGGCAGGAUCUCUGUGGCACUUUUGGAGUAAGAAGCAAGGUGACAUUUACAAGCCCAGUGCUGAAAGCGGAUGAGACUUUACAGGUGACAUGAACGACCUCAGGGACAGAUGCUACUCUGGACCCUCUGGGAUGGGAAGACCCAUGUUCGAGUUGCAGCUUCCUUAGCGGCCAAGAGCUGUGUGACCCGGGAAUCAGGGUUUCAUUCAUUAAGCGAACGUCAGGCAGCGGCCGGGUCUGUAACAGGGGUUGCAAACGCAGACGCCACCACUGCGAGCGGAAGACUCUCUACGUUGGUUCCUCUUAAUCCAUUCAGGUCUCCGCUCCGGUGUCAGGCCUGGGAACCCCUCACUCUGGAGCAGCCCCCAGGUCCGGCCCCUCUUCACAGACUGUGUUCAAACGCCGCACCCGCCGCAGCGCCCGGACACCGUGAGUGCUCAACGAAAUCGGGACGAAACGUCUGCGAGAGGAGCCCCGGGCAGGAUCCCGGCGGCGUGGAGCUGACGGUGCCGGCGCGCUGACAGGGGCGGGGGGCCUGCCGUCCCCAGGGAGCCGAGUAUGGGGAUGCCCUGAACUUUAACGGCCGGUCUCUCGGGCAGGAAGGCUCUAAGGCCCAAGCGGAGAAGCCUUCCUUCCCCGCGCGAGGCCUCUCGGCCC
RNAcentral lists this long non-coding RNA (1483 nucleotides) under Cervus hanglu yarkandensis (Yarkand deer). Its description in RNAcentral is "lncRNA (ENSCHYG00000015307.1)". Lineage: Eukaryota; Metazoa; Chordata; Mammalia; Artiodactyla; Cervidae. The record is from RNAcentral.